CAAUAGCGUAUAUUAAAGUUGUUGCAGUUAAAAAGCUCGUAGUUGGAUUUCUGGUGGGAGCGAUCGGUCUGGCGCUUAGCGCGAGUACUUGCAUCGUCUCCGGCCAUCCUUGGGGAGAGUCUGUCUGGCAUUAGGUUGUCGGGCAGAGGAUCCUCAUCGUUUACUGUGAAAAAAUUAGAGUGUUCAAAGCAGGCUUAUGCCGUUGAAUAUAUUAGCAUGGAAUAAUAAGAUAGGACUUUGGUACUAUUUUGUUAGUUUGCGCACCAAAGUAAUGAUUAAUAGGGACAGUUGGGGGUAUUCGUAUUCCGUUGUCAGAGGUGAAAUUCUUGGAUUUACGGAAGACGAACUACUGCGAAAGCAUUUACCAAGGAUGUUUUCAUUAA
This 383-nucleotide ribosomal RNA is filed under the name uncultured eukaryote. Its description in RNAcentral is "partial 18S ribosomal RNA". It matches the Rfam family "Eukaryotic small subunit ribosomal RNA", at positions 592 to 976 of the family's 1831-position model. The record is from RNAcentral.